Molecule: ribosomal RNA, 576 nt
Filed under: Chloroflexota bacterium
Lineage: Bacteria; Bacillati; Chloroflexota
Description: bacterial SSU rRNA
Rfam family: Bacterial small subunit ribosomal RNA
Source: RNAcentral
UUUGAGAGUUUGAUCCUGGCUCAGAACGAACGCUGGCGGCGUGCCUAACACAUGCAAGUCGAGCGCGAAAGUCCCUUCGGGGGCGAGUAGAGCGGCGGACGGGUGAGUAAUACAUGGAUAAUCUAUCCUCGAGCUCGGGAUAACCCUGCGAAAGCGGGGCUAAUACCGGAUAAGACCACGUAACACAAGUUACGUGGUAAAAGGUGGCUUGCUUUCGGGUUGAGCUAUCACUUGAGGGUGAGUCCAUGGCCUAUCAGCUAGUUGGUAGGGUAAUGGCCUACCAAGGCUAUGACGGGUAGCUGGUCUGAGAGGACGGCCAGCCACACUGGGACUGAGACACGGCCCAGACUCCUACGGGAGGCAGCAGUGGGGAAUAUUGGGCAAUGGGCGAAAGCCUGACCCAGCGACGCCGCGUGGGGGAAGAAGGCCUUCGGGUUGUAAACCCCUUUUGCAGGGGACGACACAGGACGGUACCCUGCGAAUAAGCCACGGCUAACUCUGUGCCAGCAGCCGCGGUAAGACAGAGGUGGCAAGCGUUGCUCGGAUUCACUGGGCUUAAAGGGCGCGUAGGUGGUU